Molecule: long non-coding RNA, 547 nt
Organism: Gasterosteus aculeatus aculeatus (three-spined stickleback)
Lineage: Eukaryota; Metazoa; Chordata; Actinopteri; Perciformes; Gasterosteidae
Source: Ensembl
AGACACAUUGUUAAAGGCACUGCUGGGAUUUGAACCCAGGAUCUCCUGUUUACUAGACAGGCACUUUGACCAUCUAAGCCACAGCGCCGCUACUUGAAGCUGUUAAACCCAAAACGAGUUGAACUUCUUUUCAAAAAAGUUUUAUUCAUGAAAAUGAAGUCAAAACCCUGGGUUAAAGGCACUGCUGGGAUUUGAACCCAGGAUCUCCUGUUUUCUAGACAGGCACUUUGACCAACUAAGCCACAGCACCUCUACUUGAAGCACCUAAACAAAAAACGAAUUGAAUACCUUUUCAAAAAAUGUUUUAAUCAGAAAAAUGAAGUCAAAACACUGGGUUAAAGGCACUGCUGGGAUUUGAACCCAGGAUCUCCUGUUUACUAGACAGGCACUUUGACCAUCUAAGCCACAGCGCCUCUACUUGAAGCUGUUAAACCCAAAACGAGUUGAACUUCUUUUCAAAAAAGUUUUAAUUAUGAAAAUGAAGUGAAAACACUGGGUUAAAGGCACUGCUGGGAUUUGAACCCAGGAUCUCCUGUUUACAAGACAG